RNAcentral lists this ribosomal RNA (253 nucleotides) under uncultured bacterium. RNAcentral describes it as "partial 16S ribosomal RNA". It matches the Rfam family "Bacterial small subunit ribosomal RNA", at positions 524 to 776 of the family's 1533-position model. The record is from RNAcentral.
UACAUGUGGGGCAAGCGUUGUUCGGAAUUACUGGGCGUAAAGCGUGCGUAGACGGCUAUCUAAGUCGGGUGUGAAAGCCCCGGGCUCAACCUGGGAAUUGCAUUCGAGACUGAAUAGCUAGGGUACGGUAGAGGGAAGCGGAAUUUCCGGUGUAGCGGUGAAAUGCGUAGAUAUCAGGAGGAAUACCGAUGGCGGAGGCAGGUCUCUGGGCUGACACUGACGCUCAUGCACGAAAGCGUGGGGAGCAAACAGG